GUUUCUGUGGUGUAGUGGUUAUCACGUUUACCUAACACGUGAAAGGUCCCUGGUUUGAAACCGGGCGGGAACA
Molecule: transfer RNA, 73 nt
Filed under: Mustela putorius furo (domestic ferret)
Lineage: Eukaryota; Metazoa; Chordata; Mammalia; Carnivora; Mustelidae
Description: tRNA-Val (AAC) (tRNA-Val-AAC-5-1)
Source: RNAcentral